GACGAACGCUGGCGGCGUGCUUAACACAUGCAAGUCGAACGGAAAGGCCUUUUCGGGGGUACUCGAGUGGCGAACGGGUGAGUAACACGUGGGUGAUCUGCCCUGCACUCUGGGAUAAGCCUGGGAAACUGGGUCUAAUACCGGAUAGGACCGCACUUUAGUGUGUGUGGUGGCAAGUUUUUUCGGUGUAGGGUGAGCCCGCGGCCUAUCAGCUUGUUGGUGGGGUAAUGGCCUACCAAGGCGGCGACGGGUAGCCGGACUGAGAGGUUGGUCGGCCACAUUGGGACUGAGGUGAGGCCCAGACACCUACGGGAGGCAGCAGGGGGGAAUAUUGCACGAUGGGCGCAAGCCUGAUGCAGCGACGCCGCGUGGGGGAUGACGGCCUUCGGGUUGUAAACUCCUUUCGCCAGGGACGAAGCGUUUUGUGACGGUACCUGGAGAAGAAGCACCGGCUAACUACGUG
RNAcentral lists this ribosomal RNA (463 nucleotides) under uncultured bacterium. RNAcentral describes it as "partial 16S ribosomal RNA". It matches the Rfam family "Bacterial small subunit ribosomal RNA", at positions 28 to 507 of the family's 1533-position model. The record is from RNAcentral.